This is a long non-coding RNA of Xenopus tropicalis (tropical clawed frog), 367 nucleotides long. RefSeq lists it as uncharacterized. The record is from RefSeq and is a predicted model, not a curated record. The transcript is spliced from 6 exons. NCBI's taxonomy places the organism in Eukaryota, Metazoa, Chordata, Amphibia, Anura, Pipidae.
CUUCUCCUCAGUUCACCUUUUCCAUCUUUAGUUGAACGAGCCUAGAGGAGAGCCAGCACCUACUGAGGGGGUCCCUUAGGGACUCCGGCCCUGGGCCGGCCCCUCCAUUCCAUCUUUUUUUUUUAACAUCACCUGGAGAGCUUCAUUUAAGAGCGAGCGAUGAACAAAGUGUUCAAGCGUUUGAGGCGUUUUUUCCCUUGCUUCGGCAAGGAGGAGCCCACUGAGGAGCCCCAGGAAUUUAUCUGCCUGGUACCAUCGGUUGGAUCUGGCAACGCCGUUUGCCAAGAGGAGAAACCAGAGCACAAAAUGGAGCCGGCUAUAGACAACUGCCGGGAGACUCCAGAGAUCCCUGACACGGACAUCUGUC